AACGAACGCUGGCGGCAGGCCUAACACAUGCAAGUCGAGCGAGGACUUCGGUCCUAGCGGCGGACGGGUGAGUAACGCGGGGGAACGUGCCCUUUACUUCGGAAUAGCCCUGGGAAACUGGGAGUAAUACCGGAUGAGCCCUUUGGGGGAAAGAUUUAUCGGCGAAGGAUCGGCCCGCGUUGGAUUAGGUAGUUGGUGGGGUAAUCGCCUACCAAGCCGACGAUGCAUAGCUGGUUUGAGAGGAUGAUCAGCCACACUGGAACUGAGACACGGCCCAGACUCCUACGGGAGGCAGCAGUGGGGAAUCUAAGACACUGGGGGAUGCCCUGAUCUAGCCAUGCCGCGUGAGCGAGGAAGGCCUUAGGGUUGUACAGCUCUUUCAGCUGGGAAGAUAAUGACGGUACCAGCAGAAGAAGCCCCGGCUAACUCCGUG
This 433-nucleotide ribosomal RNA is filed under the name uncultured bacterium. Its description in RNAcentral is "partial 16S ribosomal RNA". It matches the Rfam family "Bacterial small subunit ribosomal RNA", at positions 29 to 507 of the family's 1533-position model. The record is from RNAcentral.